GCCUAACACAUGCAAGUCGAGCGAGGAGAUUCCUUCGGGAUGAUCCUAGCGGCGGACGGGUGAGUAACACGUGGGCAACCUGCCUCAUAGAGAGGAAUAGCCUUCCGAAAGGGAGAUUAAUACCUCAUAACAUUGCAGUUUCGCAUGGAACAGCAAUUAAAGGAGCAAUCCACUAUGAGAUGGGCCCCGCGGCGCAUUAGCUAGUUGGUGAGGUAACGGCUCACCAAGGCGACGAUGCGUAGCCGACCUGAGAGGGUGAUCGGGCCACAUUGGGACUGAGACACGGCCCAGACUCCUACGGGAGGCAGCAGUGGGGAAUAUUGCACAAUGGGGGAAACCCUGAUGCAGGCAACGCCGCGUGAGUGAUGACGGCCUUCGGGUUGCAAAGCUCUGUCUUCAGGGACGAUAAUGACGGUACCUGAGGAGGAAGCCACGGCUAACUACGUGCCAGCCGCAGC
Molecule: ribosomal RNA, 458 nt
Filed under: uncultured bacterium
Lineage: Bacteria
Description: bacterial SSU rRNA
Rfam family: Bacterial small subunit ribosomal RNA
Source: RNAcentral